Molecule: long non-coding RNA, 4775 nt
Filed under: Lupinus angustifolius (narrow-leaved blue lupine)
Lineage: Eukaryota; Viridiplantae; Streptophyta; Magnoliopsida; Fabales; Fabaceae
Description: long non-coding RNA (LANG_LNC000811)
Source: RNAcentral
UUAAAAAUAAAGGAAUAUUACUUAUUUUUUAAUUUAACUGAAAUUUUAAACUUAGCAGUGUAGCAAUUUACCAUGAAUGGAAACUGCUAUUUUUGUUAUUUAGUGUCCUGUAAUGGUGUUGAGUGGUGACGAAUAGCUCAUUCUCCGAAAUCUGAUAUUUAGUCAUUACGUCAUUCAGAUGUGUGGGUCCUCUGCACUUCCUCAACCUGUUAUGCAAGAAUGGGAAGCCAUUACUGGGCAUCGCUUAUUGGAGCGAUAUGGCAUGACUGAAGUAAGUUCACUUUGGUUUAAGUUCUUCAACUUUGCAAGAAAUCAUAUAGUGUAUCAUACUGUUCUCAAUUUUACAGUAAAUUUCUAUGAUGAAUCUUACAUUAUUAUGUUAAUGUUUCUAGUUUGUCAUGGCAUUGUCAAAUCCAUUGAAAGGUGAGCGUAAGGCAGGCACUGUUGGCAAACCGUUUCCUGGUAUACAGGUCAGUUAAGAUUGCAGUUUUCCGUUUGCUGUUCACCAUCAAAUUUUGGCUUUAUGAUCUCCGAUUCCGUUGUUUCAAUAUUGGUCUGACAAGAUAAGAUAGCUUAAACAACAACGUCAGCGAUUUUCGUAACUAAUGUUUUGGACACAAGUUUCAAUGUCAGGUUAAGGAAACCACAUUUAUUAGUCUAACAACACUAAUUGAAGUUAUAUAUGACUGAAACCUACAGGAUAUAUAUAUGUGAAAGAAGUUGAUUUCGGCAUACCUAAGAGUUGGAUGUUUUACUAUGAACCUGGAGACCUCAAGUGUUAUUGAUUCUCAACAUGAAAGAUAUUUAUCACAUGGAAUUUUAAUUUUCUCUUUUCUGUAUGUGUGACAGGUCAAGAUUCUUGCAGAUGAGGACAACAAGAGUGAAACAAAAGGAGUUGGCGAGCUUUGUGUUAAAAGCCCUUCGUUGUUUAAUCAAUAUUGGAAACUUCCCGAGGUACUUUGAGAAUGCUAGUUAGUUCUGUUUAAUGAUUCUGAAAUCAUCAUUUAGUAAAUGAUUGUUGGCAUUGCCUAUUCUUUUGAUUCUUAUACUCGAAAAAGUUCCUUAUUGAUGUAUGCGAUAUAUGAUUAUGUGCACCCAUAUGUAAUAUUCAAAGACUUUAUGUCUUCUUACGUGAGAAGCAGUUAUUUGAGCAACAGAAUUCCAAAGAUGCUAAAGAUAGAGCACAGCAAAAGGAAUAUAAUAUGAAUUUGAGUAACAAAAAUAACCAAGACUCCAAAUAUAGAACAUGAUAAAAGAAACCUAACACAUUGGUCUGAGAGAUGUUAUUUAUUAUUAUUAUUAUUUUCAUGCAGGUAACAAAGGAAUCAUUCACUGAUGAUGGAUUCUUUAGGACUGGCGAUGCAGCUACUACAGAUGAAGAUGGAUAUUACAUCAUUCUAGGACGUAAGGAAAUCUAUAUUUCUCGAUUCAUGCUGUUGUAUGAUUACCUGUAAGAGUCAGAGCUUUGAGUGCAUUCUGCAGCAUGGGUUUCAUGUCUUAAUAUAUGUAGUAUCCCAAUUUAAAAUUUCUAGGAUGCUAUCCAACUUUAAAUUUUAAAGUUCGGAUUAUAGAAAAUCGCGACAUUGUCAACCAUGGUGAUAUACGCUACAUACAAUAUCUACGUUUAAUGUUGUGCAUGCCAACUUGGUGUAAAAUAUUAUUAGCAAUUCAGCAUAAGUGAUAGCCAAAGUAAAUUCUUCGGUUACUCUGAUCUAAUGUGAAAUUUCUGUCUUGCAUGAUGUACAUACUCUCUACUUGUUUAUCAGGUACUAAUGCUGAUAUAAUCAAGGUCGGUGGCUAUAAACUGUCUGCAUUAGAAAUUGAAUCCGUUAUAGUAGAGGCAAGUAGCUACUCUUUUCUCAAUCUACGGUUGUUCGUUGUUAAGAACUCUUUGUAUACUCACGCAAUUUCUCCACGAAAGGAGCCGGAUAUAACAAAUGAUAUGAUAUUCACAAUGCGAACCUUUUUUGCAGCAUCCGGCCAUAUCAGAAUGUUGUGUUUUGGGCAUACCAGACAAAGAUUAUGGAGAAAUUGUUGGUGCCAUUAUUGUAGCAGACGCUGAUCUUAAGCGAAAGCGUGAUGAGGAGUCAAAGCCUCCUCUAACCUUAGAAGAAUUAUCCACCUGGGCCAAAGACAAAAUUGCACCAUACAAGGUAUGCAGCAUGAACACAUUGAAUAUUUGAUGCAUAAAUUCACCUGUGUUCAUGACAGGCUUAGGACUUAGGAGCUUUAAAAGUAUAUUUUUUUGAUGAUUUGUUUAUAUCUUGUUAGAUACCGACUCGGCUAAUCGUGUGGGACUCAAUCCCUCGCAACGCAAUGGGGAAGGUAAUUUACUUUCGCUUUUAUGCAGUCUAUGGAGUUUGAACACCAUUUCCUUUUUAGCAUGAAUAGUGUUAUUUGGGAAGAAAAUUUAACUCUUCUUUUGUGUUUGUGAAAUUUCAGGUGAAUAAAAAAGAGCUGAAGAAAUUGCUGGUUUCAGAAGAGUAAAUUGCAUAUUAGCAUUUAUUUAUUAGGCAAAGUCCAUUUUCUGAAACCAGUUUUAAGAUAAUUUCAAACUCUAAUAAAUUUGCACCAGUUCUGUACAUGGAGAUGCAACAUUUCUCUAGUACACUAUGCUUUAGUCUAUUAGCAAAAAAGAAAGAAAAAAGGAAUAUAAAAGGAAACUGAGAAAUAAUUAUUUUAAGUUCAGUGUUUUAGAUUCAUAAGGAUGAUAUCAAGGAAGAUUGUCUUUGAUGGAUGGCUUGUUCUAAAGUAUGUUUCAAAAUAUACUUCAAACUAAUGUAAAUGAACGAAAAAUAGAAAAAAUAAUUAAUUUGGAUGACUAAAAUUUGGACAAUUUGAACAGGUAGGAAUGUAAAAAUUAGACAAGGAUGAUUUGCCGGAGGGGUGAUAAUUGGAUGGUUUUGGAUAUGGAUCUUAAUGGAUGGAUAGAAAACUAUCCACCAAUCCAUGUAGAUUCAUUACAUCACAUUUUUAGAUUAUCCAAUCAUCCCUAUCCAAUUAAUUCAAAUUCAUCCAUUCUAUCCAACCUACUUUUUUUAAUUUGAAUAAAACAUUUUUAAUAAAGCAAUUUGAAAAAGAAAAAUUAUUUUAAAAAUUAUUAUUUAAUAAAGCAUUUUUAAAUAUCAAUUUUAAAAAAAUAAUUUUCUUAACAAACACUUUUAAAAAGUGCUUUUUUGAUAAAUACUUUUAAAAAUGUGAAUUUGUUAAGUUUUUUUUAUAAGCAUUUUUAUUGGCAAGAAUCUCUGGUGCAACAUAAUCGGUAGGAGUGUAAAAGUUUGAUUCGGUUUUUGACACAAUUUAGUGUCCGAACACAAAGAUAUGGUUCGGUUCUACUUGAUUAACCGCAAAUUUUAUUUAGGAACCGAACCGUUCAUUUAUGUUUCAGUUCGGUUCCGUGGUUUUUCAACUUAUUUAAAGAAAAUCCUUUAUGAAAUAGUUGAACAAAAUUUGCAAAGUAUAGAAUCAACUAAAUGAAUAUUAUACGCAUCAAUAAUAAAGUAUUUAAUAUUCUUUCUAGUAAAACAAUAAUAAUUCAACAUCUCAACGCACUACAAACUUGAAAUUUUAGUUCACAAAAUCUUCGACAAUGUCAAACAAAAUUUAAGAAUGACAAACUUGGUACUAAUUCUAUAGUCCAACAGUCUAUCUUCUCAAUGAAUAAUAGAGAUAAUAUAUAUUUGAGUUUGUUUACUAAUUUAUUUUUUCUAUUUGCCUCUUACUUAUAGCCUAUAUGUAUUAAUAAUCAUAAAUUUUUAAUCAUAUUUUAUCUCCUAACUUUAAAGCUUAACAAUCUAAAUAUAAAAUAAAAUUAUUUUUUAAUAUGCGAUUCGAUUCAGUUCUAACGGUUCCAAAAUUUACAAAAUCGUGAACCGAACCGAACUUAAAUGGUUCCAAAUAAAAUAGCUUUUUGUUGCUAAAAAUCUAAUUGUCUUGUUGAAGGUUGAAUUUUUGCCAAAGUUUAGUGUGAGGGGAAUUUGGCAGAGAUGGCGUGAGUCAUAUCCAACUGAAGGAUCUAAGUCUGAUGAUGCUAUAACUUUGUUUACUGGAGUAAGUAUAAUUCUGUUAAGCUUUGCUCAGUUCUAUGAUAUGAUUCAUUCCCAUGGUACCUUUGUUUUUCUAUGUAAUCUUAGCUCCACUGAAGAUAAAUGUCUUCUUUGCCAUAAUCGUAAAAGACAAUUUAUAGGCCAUAUAAUGGUGUUCUUUGUAAUGUCUGUAAAUUCAUAGGUUGCACCUAAAAUCCAUAUUUGCUAUUAAUACUAGUUACUAUGAUUGGAAAACUUGUCUUGGGUGACCUUGUUCUGAUGAAGUUCUUUUGUAAAUGAAGGUUCCGACUAUAUACACCCGAUUAAUACAAGGUUAUCAUGCAAUGGAUCCUGAGCUAAAAGCCACUUCAGCUUCUGCUGCAAGGAACUUGCGUCUUAUGGUAAGAGAAAAGGAAGCAUCUUAGUACCAAUCAUUUUUUUAUCUGUUAAAAGUGGAUAAUGAAAAUUUUGUUGGCAUUUUAAAAAUAAAGGAAUAUUACUUAUUUUUUAAUUUAACUGAAAUUUUAAACUUAGCAGUGUAGCAAUUUACCAUGAAUGGAAACUGCUAUUUUUGUUAUUUAGUGUCCUGUAAUGGUGUUGAGUGGUGACGAAUAGCUCAUUCUCCGAAAUCUGAUAUUUAGUCAUUACGUCAUUCAGAUGUGUGGGUCCUCUGCACUUCCUCAACCUGUUAUGCAAGAAUGGGAAGCCAUUACUGGGCAUCGCUUAUUGGAGCGAUAUGGCAUGACUGAA